GUUCGGUAAACAGGAAGUUGUCGAGUGAUGAAUCUGAAAACGCAUCACACGGUAUAGCUGACUUAUAUAAAUCCUGAAACCAAAUUUCAGAAAUCCUUGUAUUGUAGUUCCUGAGAAAAUGUGACGAAAAUUUUCAACUUGGCUAUCAUGUGUAAAAUCAGACAAGUGUUCGGUAAACAGGAAGUUGUCAAGUGAUGAAUCUGAAAAUGCAUCACACGGUAUGGCUGACAUAUAUAAAUGUUGAUACCAAAUUACAGAAAGGGUGGAUGUGUAGUUCCUGAGAAAAAUGUGACGAAAGUUUCAUGGGACGGACUGACUGACGGACUGAUGGACGGACGGACUGAUGGACGGACUGACGAACAGACUGACAGACAGAGGUAAAACAGUAUACCCCCCCUUUUUUAAAGCGGGGGUAUAAUGAAAAAUAGUACAAACAA
RNAcentral lists this long non-coding RNA (437 nucleotides) under Mytilus galloprovincialis (Mediterranean mussel). The record is from RNAcentral. Lineage: Eukaryota; Metazoa; Mollusca; Bivalvia; Mytilida; Mytilidae.